GUAAGGAAUAUUGGUCAAUGGGCGAAAGCCUGAUCCAGCCAUGCCGCGUGUGUGAAGAAGGUCUUCGGAUUGUAAAGCACUUUAAGUUGGGAGGAAGGGCAGUAAGUUAAUACCUUGCUGUUUUGACGUUACCGACAGAAUAAGCACCGGCUAACUUCGUGCCAGCAGCCGCGGUAAUACGAAGGGUGCAAGCGUUAAUCGGAAUUACUGGGCGUAAAGCGCGCGUAGGUGGUUUUGUAAGUUGGAGUUGAAAUCCCCGGGCGCAAACUGGGAACUGCCUCCAAAACUGCAUGACUAGAGUACGGUAGAGGGUAGUGGAAUUUCCUGUGUAGCGGUGAAAUGCGUAGAUAUAGGAAGGAACACCAGUGGCGAAGGCGACUACCUGGACUGAUACUGACACUGAGGUGCGAAAGCGUGGGGAGCAAACAGGAUUAGAAACCCCAGUAGUCC
RNAcentral lists this ribosomal RNA (450 nucleotides) under uncultured bacterium. RNAcentral's name for it is "partial 16S ribosomal RNA". It matches the Rfam family "Bacterial small subunit ribosomal RNA", at positions 354 to 796 of the family's 1533-position model. The record is from RNAcentral.